GGGCGGUUAGCUCAGAUGGUUAGAGCACCAGCUCGACACGCUGGGGGUCGGCGGUUCGAGUCCGCCACCGCCCA
RNAcentral lists this transfer RNA (74 nucleotides) under Salinispira pacifica. RNAcentral describes it as "tRNA-Val (GAC) (tRNA-Val-GAC-1-1)". It matches the Rfam family "tRNA". From Rfam's summary of the family: Transfer RNA (tRNA) molecules are approximately 80 nucleotides in length. Their secondary structure includes four short double-helical elements and three loops (D, anti-codon, and T loops). Lineage: Bacteria; Pseudomonadati; Spirochaetota; Spirochaetia; Spirochaetales; Spirochaetaceae. The record is from Rfam by way of RNAcentral.